This 422-nucleotide ribosomal RNA is filed under the name uncultured bacterium. Its description in RNAcentral is "bacterial SSU rRNA". It matches the Rfam family "Bacterial small subunit ribosomal RNA", at positions 355 to 774 of the family's 1533-position model. The record is from RNAcentral.
UGAGGAAUAUUGGGCAAUGCCCGCAAGGGUGACCCAGCAACGCCGCGUGGAGGAUGAAUGUCGUAAGAUUGUAAACUCCUGUUAGAGGGGAAGAAUAGUACCGGUUGGACCGGUAUAUGACUGUACCCUCAGAGAAAGCCCCGGCUAACUACGUGCCAGCAGCCGCGGUAAUACGUAGGGGGCAAGCGGUGUCCGGAUUUACUGGGUGUAAAGGGCGCGCAGGCGGGAUAAAAAGUCAGUGGUGAAAUCCUACAGCUUAACUUUAGAACUUCCUUUUAUACUUUUAUUCUUGAGUUCGGGAGAGAGAGACGGAAUUCCAGGUGUAGUGGUGAAAUACGUAGAUAUCUGGAAGAACACCAGUUGCGAAGGCGGUCUCUUGGUCCGACACUGACGCUGAGGCGCGAAAGCGUGGGGAGCAAACA